RNAcentral lists this transfer RNA (73 nucleotides) under Rhodopirellula baltica. RNAcentral describes it as "tRNA-Ile". The record is from RNAcentral. Lineage: Bacteria; Pseudomonadati; Planctomycetota; Planctomycetia; Pirellulales; Pirellulaceae.
GGUAGUCGAGGGCUGGUUGUCCAGGCCUUGCUGAUAACGAGGUUGUGCCGAGUUCGAUCCUCGGGGCUACCAC